GGGCGCAUAGCUCAGGUGGUUAGAGCGCACGCCUGAUAAGCGUGAGGUCGGUGGUUCGAGUCCACUU
This 67-nucleotide transfer RNA is filed under the name Enterocloster aldenensis. Its description in RNAcentral is "[Clostridium] aldenense tRNA-Ile". It matches the Rfam family "tRNA". Rfam says of the family: Transfer RNA (tRNA) molecules are approximately 80 nucleotides in length. Lineage: Bacteria; Bacillati; Bacillota; Clostridia; Lachnospirales; Lachnospiraceae. The record is from RNAcentral.